UUAGGAGUAGGAACCAACGCGUUAAGUGCCGCCGGAACGGAAUGUGAACGGUGGACGAAGACUCAGUCGCGGUGUUGGUUCCGCAUUCGCCUAG
Molecule: non-coding RNA, 94 nt
Filed under: Lacticaseibacillus brantae
Lineage: Bacteria; Bacillati; Bacillota; Bacilli; Lactobacillales; Lactobacillaceae
Also listed under: 1 other name
Description: Lactobacillus brantae THF-I sequence
Rfam family: THF (Tetrahydrofolate) riboswitch aptamer
About the family: THF riboswitch presents a pseudoknot that joins P1-P2 and the loop of P3 and two THF binding.
Source: RNAcentral